RNAcentral lists this long non-coding RNA (688 nucleotides) under Homo sapiens (human). Its description in RNAcentral is "non-protein coding SPINT1-AS1:19". Lineage: Eukaryota; Metazoa; Chordata; Mammalia; Primates; Hominidae. The record is from RNAcentral.
CCGAGGGUGCUGGUGACCUGAGAAGAAGGGAGGGGACAGAGGAGGAGACACACCUGAUCAGCCCGGGAGACUUUGGAGGAGGCGGGCCGGCCGGGAGGAAGUGGCGGGGAGGAGGGACCGGAGCACCCCAGGAUCGAAGAGGGCGCACGGGCCCGGCCCUCCCACGCGCCCUCCAGGGACCCGGCAGCCAGACAGACGGACAGGCGGACCGCUAGGGAGCUCAAGUACCCGGACACACGCACGAGCGCAGAACAAAGGGCCGGACAUGCUCCAGCCCGCUCCGCCUGCGCCUCGGCCUUGCGCGCGGGGGCCCGGGUUACCUGCGCAGAGCCAGCUGUGAUGUAAAGAAGUUUGUGCUGCAUGAGAGAGAUAGCACCUGAAGAAAAUGAGGCCCUGGAGGAUGAGAGACUCUAAAGGAAAAGGGAAGGGCCUGCUGUCUUCCAGCCACGCCAGCCCCCAACUGAGAAGCUGGGUGAAGCCAUCUUGCAUCUUUAGCCCCAGUCAAGUUACCUCAGCAAAGACUAGCUGACCCUGCCAAGCCCUGCCCAAGUUACAGAAUCAUGAGCAAAUAAAUGGCUGUUUCUGUUUUAAGCUUUUAAAUUUUGGGGGUGGUUUAUGUGUCAAUAAUAACUGAAACAGAUAAUAUAUACAGAAUAAACUUUAGUUUUAAUAAUCUAAGUAAAAGCCC